RNAcentral lists this ribosomal RNA (207 nucleotides) under uncultured bacterium. RNAcentral's name for it is "partial 16S ribosomal RNA". It matches the Rfam family "Bacterial small subunit ribosomal RNA", at positions 568 to 774 of the family's 1533-position model. The record is from RNAcentral.
CUCGUAGGCGGUUCGUCGCGUCCGGUGCGAAAGUCCAUCGCUUAACGGUGGAUCCGCGCCGGGUACGGGCGGGCUUGAGUGCGGUAGGGGAGACUGGAAUUCCCGGUGUAACGGUGGAAUGUGUAGAUAUCGGGAAGAACACCAAUGGCGAAGGCAGGUCUCUGGGCCGUCACUGACGCUGAGGAGCGAAAGCGUGGGGAGCGAACA